Arabidopsis lyrata subsp. lyrata is the source of this 324-nucleotide long non-coding RNA. RefSeq lists it as uncharacterized. The transcript is spliced from 2 exons. NCBI's taxonomy places the organism in Eukaryota, Viridiplantae, Streptophyta, Magnoliopsida, Brassicales, Brassicaceae. The record is from RefSeq and is a predicted model, not a curated record.
AGAAAGCGGAGUUAAGUGGACUUAACCACUUGACUAAAGACCACGUCUAUCUACUACACUCAAGUACGUCCAUUCCAAUAUAAUCACUAGAGAGACUUUAACAAACUAUCCAGAAAAGUGGAUCUUCAUUAUAUAGUCAAGUUUCUAGUCUCGUAUAAGGAGGUAUGGUGAGACUCUCUCUCUAUCAAUUCUAUAGCGAGUUUGGAUUGUAGCGUCAAUUUUGAGCUUCUUUACCAUGUUAUGAGAAUUCUCAAUGGACUUGAUAGAAAAUAUAUAAUGCUUUUAGAUUAAUAAAAUUUAUAAAUCACCACACUUACAAGCUAA